GUGUCGGGGUGCAUCCCACCGCCUUCAGGUGUCAGGGUCAAGGGUGGGUACCGACGAAAGCGAUGAAAAAUACUUUAAAUCCCACGGUAGCGAAACGACUGGAUGCCGGGAGUGUGGUUAGCUGUUUCUCUUUCGGUCACGAGACUGCUGACAGCACAUAGUUCCCAUUUUCCGGCGUAGCCUGGCCUAGCUUCAGCCUUGGCAGAAGUUUAAUCAUUCGGAAUAAGCCAAAACAACUGCAGAGGUAAAAUGGGCCUUUACUGUAAACAAAACAGAUACACAGCUGUCAGGCAUGAGGACACUGUCAACAAAUGUGACAAAAGAGACGAGUGACAGAAGAGGGACAUAAACACCGGCUGCGAGCGAAUGUAUCC
Molecule: long non-coding RNA, 374 nt
Organism: Oreochromis aureus
Lineage: Eukaryota; Metazoa; Chordata; Actinopteri; Cichliformes; Cichlidae
Exons: 3
Source: RefSeq, a predicted model, not a curated record